UAGAACAGGAAUAUUGAGUGUUAAAGAAGAAUUUGUAUUUUCUUGAUCGUGUUUGUAUUCUUUUGCUGACUAAAGAGGUUGAAGUGUAGGCACAAGCAAGAACAUUGUCCUGAUCUCUUGGUGGCUUUGUGAAUGAAAUGUGUCUCCUGGAGGGAUGUUGUGAAAGGGAAAAUAAGCUCUGUUUGGAUUGACCUCUUGUGUGGGAUUCACCAGGCCAGGAACUUUUCUCACAGCAUCUGAUUCAUUUUCCCUGCCCACUACAGGUCACAUAAAACAUGUAUUCAGUGGAGCUGCUCCUGAGUGCCUGAGAGGACUGGAUUUUCUUCACUCAAACCACAUGAUCCACCGAGGUCUGAAGAGCUGCAACAUCCUUCUCGGAACCAAUGGCUCUGUCAAGCUGGCUGACUUUGGCCUCUUUGCUCAGCUCACUCCUGAGCAGAGUAGACAAAGCUCCGUGGCCAGCACUUCUGGGUGGAUGGCGCCUGAAGUGGUGACAGGUCAACCAUAUGGCCCCAAAGUGGACAUAUGGUCUUUUGGAAUCGUGGGCAUUGAAAUGGUGGAACGAGAAGCUCCUUACUGGAAAGAAACUUCUGGCAUGGUAAGGAGCAAAUACUGACUGAUCCCUCUGUCUUUCUCACCUGUCCCGUGUCCUGUGUGCCACUGGACAAAAUCCCAUUGCCAUCUGCUGGCACCACUUCCACCAAGAUCACCUCCUAAAAAUGUCCCUGCAGCACAUCAGAAUCUGCUGUAGCUUUGGUUGCAUCAGAGGGGAAGUGGCAGUUCAGAAACCUAAGCAGUUCAGACACCUAACCAGUUCAGGAACCUGCCAUUUAGGCCUCCAGCCAUGCCUGGCAUUUCUCAUUUGCUUUUUGAACAGUGUUGGAGCUCUGUCUCUGAAGGACAAAAAAUUUUCAGUGGAAUGGUUGGAUGUGUGAUAAAUAUCCUUCAAAAUGGAGGUUCAAUCAUCCUAGUUUCAAUUGUACAGCAAAAGAAAACUGGAAAUUGAAAAGGAAGAGAAAAUAGAUAAGAAAAAAAAGGAAACAGAAGAGAAAAAAAUAAAAGAAAGAGAAAGAGAAAGAGAAAGAGAAAGAGAAAGAGAAAGAAAAAGAAAAAGAAAAAGAAAAAGAAAAAGAAAAAGAAAAAGAAAAAGAAAAAGAAAAAGAAAAAGAAAAAGAAAAAGAAAAAG
This is a long non-coding RNA of Passer domesticus (house sparrow), 1186 nucleotides long. RefSeq lists it as uncharacterized. The record is from RefSeq and is a predicted model, not a curated record. The transcript is spliced from 3 exons. Lineage: Eukaryota; Metazoa; Chordata; Aves; Passeriformes; Passeridae.